ACAAAAGAAAUUACACAAUUCUAAAAAUAGAUAAAAUUAAUACAAGUACAAAAUAAUGUAUAUGGUUUAUUGAUUGUGCGAUAUGGCAUGGAUACAAACACACACACAACAUCAAUCAAUUUUUAUUAAAAUAUUGAAGUGUUUUUAUUUAAUUUUAUAAAUAAAAUAAAAUUUUAUCGUUACAUAGUACAUUUAUCUAAUUCUUACAUUUAUCUCCCAUACUUUUAGCACAAUUGAAUUCUUUCUAUUUAUGUCUGUUAUUCAAACAAAAAUAUAUAAUCAAUUUGUAUAAUAAUAUUGUUUAUAAAACAUUGUUUUUAACUUGA
RNAcentral lists this small RNA (326 nucleotides) under Atta cephalotes. RNAcentral describes it as "sRNA LOC105617173". Lineage: Eukaryota; Metazoa; Arthropoda; Insecta; Hymenoptera; Formicidae. The record is from RNAcentral.